RNAcentral lists this ribosomal RNA (460 nucleotides) under uncultured bacterium. RNAcentral's name for it is "partial 16S ribosomal RNA". It matches the Rfam family "Bacterial small subunit ribosomal RNA", at positions 338 to 795 of the family's 1533-position model. The record is from RNAcentral.
CCUACGGGUGGCAGCAGUGAGGAAUAUUGGUCAAUGGCCGGAAGGCUGAACCAGCCAAGCCGCGUGAAGGACGAAGGUGCCAAGCAUUGUAAACUUCUUUUGUCAAGGAAUAAAACGAGGCACGUGUGCCUUUUUGCAUGUACUUUAUGAAUAAGGAUCGGCUAACUCCGUGCCAGCAGCCGCGGUAAUACGGAGGAUCCGAGCGUUAUCCGGAUUUAUUGGGUUUAAAGGGAGCGUAGAUGGGUUGUUAAGUCAGUUGUGAAAGUUUGCGGCUCAACCGUAAAAUUGCAAUUGAUACUGGCAGUCUUGAGUACAGUUGAGGUAGGCGGAAUUCGUGGUGUAGCGGUGAAAUGCUUAGAUAUCACGAAGAACCCCGAUUGCGAAGGCAGCUUACUAAACUGUGACUGACAUUGAUGCUCGAAAGUGUGGGUAUCAAACAGGAUUAGAUACCCGGGUAGUC